Molecule: transfer RNA, 56 nt
Filed under: Loxodonta africana (African savanna elephant)
Lineage: Eukaryota; Metazoa; Chordata; Mammalia; Proboscidea; Elephantidae
Rfam family: tRNA
About the family: Transfer RNA (tRNA) molecules are approximately 80 nucleotides in length. Their secondary structure includes four short double-helical elements and three loops (D, anti-codon, and T loops). Further hydrogen bonds mediate the characteristic L-shaped molecular structure. tRNAs have two regions of fundamental functional importance: the anti-codon, which is responsible for specific mRNA codon recognition, and the 3' end, to which the tRNAs corresponding amino acid is attached (by aminoacyl-tRNA synthetases). tRNAs cope with the degeneracy of the genetic code in two manners: having more than one tRNA (with a specific anti-codon) for a particular amino acid; and 'wobble' base-pairing, i.e. permitting non-standard base-pairing at the 3rd anti-codon position.
Source: Rfam by way of RNAcentral
UGGUUCAAUGGUAGAAUUCCUGCCUUUCAUGUGGGAGAUCUGGGUUUAAUUCCCAG